AGGGAUGCUGCAUUGCUUCAGGAGCAGGCUCCGUCCGCGGUCCUCCAAGGUCCCCGGUGGUCCCCUCGCAGGGCCGGUGCACAAACUUGCUCCGCGUGCCGGAGGGAGGAGGGCGGGCAGCAGGCAGAGGGGAGCGAAGAUGACAAGUUAUUCGGAGAGUCAGGGAUUUGGUGGUUGUCUUAGUCAGUUAUUGCUGUUUUCAUUGGCUGGCAGGGAUCGGGGAGUUUCUGUCUGAACAGUUGUGUGUGUGUGCAUGUGCGUUUGCAUGUGCAUGUGCGUGUGUGUGUGUGAUUUUUGUCAAUUGCAAGAGAUCCACUUGCCAUGAGUUCUAGACCUCACAAGUCUGCAGGUUCUCUUCCCUUGCACUUCCUAGACCCAUAUGUGUUGGUCUCUGGCCAACUCGGGGAGAAGGAGUGCAGGUUUUAUGUCCUGGGGCUCACGGCCCAGCCGGAUGGAAGAAACUGGUGCCUUCAGCCCUCCACAAAUACACCCACCUCUCCUGUGCUGAUUGCAUGGCUGUUGGGAGGAAACUGGACCGGGGGUUCUCGGAGGGGAUAUCCCAAGACCCACGACAGCAGAAAAUUAAGUGUCUGAAAGAGCUCUGUAACUGCAAGAUGGUAUUGCCAUUCUUGGUCAUAGCAUUUCCUGGAUUAGUGAAGUAGGAAUAUCCUCCUUUCCCUCCUUCUCCUCUGAAGAGAGCUCCUCAGCUACUGUCUGUUGCUGCUCCCUCUGAAGGUCUUGGAGUUCCUUGGUGGUCAGCUCAGUGUUGUGGUCCUCCACCAACUCUUCCACAUCAUCAUCACCCAUCUUCAAGCCCAUGGACUUGCCUAGGCACAGUAUCCUCUACAACAGACACUGGCUCAUCCUCAGAGACCUCAAAGUCUCUUUCAGCAAUGGACUCAGGCCACAAUUUCUUCCAGGCUGAUUGCAUGGUCCUGGAAGACACGUGGCCCAUGCUUUGCCUAUUAGCCUCAAGCAAGUGAGGAUGUUAAAAUGUUCCUUCCAGAACUCCCUGAGUAUUAAAUUAGUUUCAGAGGUCACCUCAAAACACCUCUGAAA
Long non-coding RNA from Myotis lucifugus (little brown bat), 1059 nucleotides. RefSeq lists it as uncharacterized. The record is from RefSeq and is a predicted model, not a curated record. Lineage: Eukaryota; Metazoa; Chordata; Mammalia; Chiroptera; Vespertilionidae. The transcript is spliced from 2 exons.